UACGUAGGUGGCAAGCGUUGUCCGGAAUUAUUGGGCGUAAAGCGCGCGCAGGCGGUCCUUUAAGUCUGAUGUGAAAGCCCACGGCUCAACCGUGGAGGGUCAUUGGAAACUGGGGGACUUGAGUACAGAAGAGGAAAGCGGAAUUCCACGUGUAGCGGUGAAAUGCGUAGAGAUGUGGAGGAACACCAGUGGCGAAGGCGACUUUCUGGUCUGUAACUGACGCUGAGGCGCGAAAGCGUGGGGAGCAAACAGG
Molecule: ribosomal RNA, 253 nt
Filed under: uncultured bacterium
Lineage: Bacteria
Description: partial 16S ribosomal RNA
Rfam family: Bacterial small subunit ribosomal RNA
Source: RNAcentral